This 253-nucleotide ribosomal RNA is filed under the name uncultured bacterium. RNAcentral describes it as "partial 16S ribosomal RNA". It matches the Rfam family "Archaeal small subunit ribosomal RNA", at positions 474 to 727 of the family's 1478-position model. The record is from RNAcentral.
UACCAGCACCCCGAGUGGUCGGGACGAUUAUUGGGCCUAAAGCAUCCGUAGCCGGUUUUACAAGUCCUCCGUUAAAUCCAGCUGCUUAACAGAUGGGCUGCGGAGGAUACUAUAAGACUAGGAGGCAGGAGAGGCAAGCGGUACUCAGUGGGUAGGGGUAAAAUCCGUUGAUCCAUUGAAGACCACCAGUGGCGAAGGCGGCUUGCCAGAAUGCGCUCGACGGUGAGGGACGAAGCCCUGGGGCGCAAACCGG